AUGCGACUGUCACCUGGGAUGGCAACAUCAAUGAUCCAACCCUUUUUCUUUUCCACAACUGUGAUGUCUGGUGUGUUGUGUUCCAGAACUUUGUCAGUCUGGAUUCGGAUCCAGACUGACAAAGUUCUGGAACACAACACACCAGACAUCACAGUUGUGGAAAAGAAAAAGGUUUGGAUCAUUGAUGUUGCCAUCCCAGGUGACAGUCGCAUUGACGAAAAACAACAGGAAAAACUCAGCCGCUAUCAGGACCUCAAGAUUGAACUUCAAAGACUCUGACAGAAACUAGUGCAGGUGGUCCCGGUGGUGAUUGGCACAUUGGGUGCCAUGCCAAAAGAUCUCAGCCGGCAUUUGGAAACAAUAGACAUUGACAAAAUUACGAUCUGCCAACUGCAAAAGGCCACCCUACUGGGAUCUGUGCACAUCAUCCGAAAAUAGAUCACACAGUCCUAGACACUUGGGAAGUGUUCGACUUGUGAUUUUGUGAUACGAAAUCCAGAAUAUCUAUCUUGUUUGCUGUGCCAUACAAUAAUAAUAAUGACAUUUAUUUCUAACCCUCUUUGUCUCUCUAAAACAGUGGUUCCCAACCCGUGGGCCAUGGCCCAGCAGUGGGCUGCGAGAAUCUGGUCCAAGAACCUCCUCCUCUUUAUUUUAUUUUAUUUUAUUUCCACUCCUUUCUGCAGAGCUGACCAUUGCAUUGGAUAGACCACAUCAGCUCUAGAUUAUUAAAUAUGGUUUUCUGUGGGCAAGCAGAUGGCGACUACUGAAUGGCAUAUGUUCUGUAUCAGAAACUAGAGCUGAUGUGGUCUAUUGAGUUGACCAAUUUGUAAAUAGUAAAAAAAACAAAACACCAAGGUCAAACCCAUGAAUGUGGAGGGCUGGGUGUAUUCAGUUUUUUCCUCGGUUUGAAAUGAACUUUCCCCCUUCUGCACAGCCCAAUAUUGUCUGGCUCUGAACACUGCAGUUUGCAUUGUCUCUUGAAGGUGACUCAGAUCAAAAUAACUGAGGAAGUAGUUUCCUGUGUGGGGGGAAAAGAAAGAGAGAGAAAGAGAGAAGGAAAGAGAGAGAGGCUGCAUCUACACUGCAAUACAUUGCAGUUUGAGAAUGCAGAUUAACUGGAUUGAACUAGAUUAUAUGGCAGUGUAGACACAUAUAAUCCAGUUCAAUGCAGUUCAUUAUGCAUUAUAUGAGUUUACAGUGACCAUAUAAUGCAGUUCAGACUGGAUGGUUCCAGAGAGACUAACAUUGCACCAUGCAAUUCGGCAUCCUGAGCACAGAUCUGGGUCACCUUCUGAGUCAACCUUUAGAAGUCAUUUUAAAAGGUAACACAUGUCUCUUUAUACACAUUACCAAAUGCACUGUCUGGGGUAAAGAGAUGAGGCUUCCUCAAAUUGCAUCCAUUUAUGAUUACUUAAUUUAAUUCACCAUGUACCUUUGCAAAAAAGGAGUCUUUCCUUAAAGAACUGUCCUCAGUUCACUUUAGUAUGGAAUUUCUGCACACUUCAUAAUACCCUCCCAAGGGACAGAAUAACAAAGCAGCAAGGAAAUUUUGAACCAGUAUUCAAAUUGUCCUACAAGGUUUAUUUCAUUCUCUGAGCAGAUGCUGGCUGUGAGUGGGAAGACGUUUUGUUGAAAAGUAAUAUUUGAAAUAAACUUGGACACAUCUGAGUAUUCUCAUAUGCUCAGUGGGUUUUCAAUAAUUUAAUCUUAUUGAGCCAUUGUUUUUUUAAGGCAACACCCAUCAUUUUUAAACAUCUGCCACUUUCCUUUUGUCUGAAAGAAAAAUUAAAAUCUGGGCUAAAGGAAAUGUUUGGAGCUUCCCAAAUAUCUCCAGUGACUCAAGUAUCCUGUUUGGACAAAGAUCAAACCUAACAAGUCCAAAAGACCAACAAAACAGUAAUGCAGCACCCUCUCCAAAACAUCUUUGGGAUAUAUUUGUGAACCAGCUCCAUUACAUGAGUAAUUUUAGAAAUGUGGACUGUGGGAGAAAUCAGUCAACACAUUUCUGAAAGUAAAUUUAUUAUUGUAAUCAGACACAUAUACAAUCAACAUAUGAAUUAAAGCUAAAGAGGAAGUCACACGGGCACAAUCAUAUCUAGCAUUGCUCUUCAUUCUGGUCUUUCCUCCUUUUAGUCCACUUCUACUGGAUACAGUCAGGCAUGAUUUUUGCCUGCACUAUAUGUUACUGGAUCAUUCUAUAGAAUUACUCUCAGAGGAGGUUGCCCAUUUUUGUCUUUACAUGAGUCUGGACAAGUUUCCUUCCAAUCAAGAGUGCAGCAUUUAUCUGAAUGAAGCAGAGAGUGUUUGAGGAUCGGGACAUCCGUAGGGAUACCAAGGUGCUUGUUUAUAAAGCUACUAGCUGUGCCCGGCCACACGUUGCUGUGGCGAAGUAUGGCGAUAAGGGAAAUAAAGUAUUGAGGAAUUGGUGGUCGUUAAGGUAAAGGGUAAACGUUUUCUCCUGACGUUAAGUCCAGUCGUGUCUGACUCUGGGGGUUGGUGCUCAUCUCCAUUUCUAAGCCGAAGAGCCGGCGUUGUCCGUAGACUCCUCCAAGGUCAUGUGGGAUGACUGCAUGGAGUGGCGUUACCUUCCCACCAGAGCAGUACCUAUUGAUGCACUCACAUUUGCAUGUUUUCGAACUUCUGGGUUGGCAGAAGCUGGGGCUAACAGUGAGGGCUCACUCUGGUCCCCCAAUUCAAACCUGUGGCCUUUCGGUCCAGAAGUUCAGCAGCUCAGCGCUUUAACACGCUGCUCCAUCAGGGGAUAUUAUUUCCAAAAGGUUGUGAAUAUACAAUAUUUCUGAUUGUUUUGUUUUUUUUUUGUCUGUUGGAGGCAAGUAUGAAUGCUGCAAUUAGUGAAAAUGAUUAGGAUGUAAAUGGCCUUGGGAGCUUUAAAGCCUUGCUGCUUCCUCCCUGAGUGAAUUUUUUGUUGGGAGGUGUUAGCUGGCCCUGAUUGUUUCCUGUCUGGAAUUCCCUUGUUUUCAGAGUUGUGUUCUUUGCGAUAUUUUAUGUGCUUCUACUGUCUGUGGCCCUGAGAAAACAGAGGAUUUGCCAGACUUUGAUGAUGGGAAUACUUUGUUGGGAAGUGUUAGCUGGCCCUGAUUGUUUCCUGUGUGAAAUUCCCGUUUUCAGAGUGUUGUUCUUUAUUUAGUGUUCUGAUUUUAGAGAUUGUAUUGUUCUGUUUUAUUAUACCACAUUAAUUUUUAUAUAUUCUGAUUUUAGUGUUUUUGAAUACUUGGAGCCAGAUUGUAUUCAUUUUCACAGUUGACCGCAACACAAUAAUAAUAAUAAUAAUAAUAAUAAUAAUAAUAAUAAUAAUAAUAAUAAUAAUGACUUUGGUAAUACACAGUGCUUCACUCCCUUCUUAGCUUCCUUUCUGGAAGAAUCCUUUCUUGGGAGGUGUUAGCUGGCCCUGAUUGUUUCCUUUGUGGAAUUUCCAGUUUCCCUGGUCACCAGUGCUGCAGAAUUCGAAGAAGCACGAAUGGAGAGCGAAAGGGAGAAACAUACCAAGAGGAGGGCACAUCAAGCCAACCCUGACCGGGACCGCCUUCCACCUGGAAACUGAUGUCUUCACUGCAGAACAACAUGAGGGGCAAGAAUAGGUCUCCACAGCCUAGACACUACACUUGGAGGGCCAUCAUCCUCAGGCUACCAGGGAUCGCCUAAGUAAGUAAGCUUAGUAAAAAAAAAGUAUUUAACUGCUGCAAAAGACAAGCAUGGUUUUGGACCCCUCACACUUAGGAAUUUACAAUCCUGGAAACAUUACAUACUUUCCAAAGUUAUUUUAAUAAAUAAGUCUACUAUAACUGUUCUCAUUAAUCUCAGUAAGGAACAGUGAGUGACCUUCUCACCACUUCACAGUGGAUGUUUAGAUGACUGGGAUUUUGAUCAGUUUGUCCAAGUUUAAAUCUAAUCCUCCUCCUUGAAUAUUCUGUGUUUUUUGGAAGGAACAGCAGUUUCACAUUUUGCUACAAAAUAUUAAAUGUUGCUCCAUGUUUUUUCAUGUCCAAGGUUACUUUGUCAAGUUUUUCCGAUAUCCAUAGUAAGUUCACUGAUCCACCAAAAUACCACAAAUAGUGAUCAAGCCUUCUGAAUUCAUUGAUGUCUGUAUGACUGGUAAGAAAAUGGAUGGAAGAGAAACCUGAAUUCGAUUGGGAAUGAACCGAUUGUUGAAUGGCGAGUGAAUGCUUACAUAAACCCCAUUUAUUUGAUUGAGCAUCUGUAGCUGGGAGGAACAAUAGGCAACCCCACCCCUUUGAGGAAAACCUACCAAGAGGCCCUCAGGGUUGCCUCUUGGUCAGAAACAACUGGAAGGCAUAUGAAAACAAUGAAGAUUGGGAACCUGUUUCGUUGAACUAAACUUUAUUUUGUAGCAUGGAUAACUGUUCUUUUAUUAUUUGACUGCAACUGAAGGCAGUUUAUUACACUGAUAGAUUUAUACAAGCUGUUACAAGCUUGUAUACAAGAGUUACAAGCUGGGUCGAUGCUGGAAAUGCUGUAGAGGUAGAGUUAUCUGGAUUUCAGUAAGGCCUUUGACAAGGUCCCCCACGACCUUCUGGCAAACAAACUA
This 4567-nucleotide long non-coding RNA is filed under the name Anolis carolinensis (green anole). Its description in RNAcentral is "lncRNA (ENSACAG00000045482.1)". The record is from RNAcentral. Lineage: Eukaryota; Metazoa; Chordata; Lepidosauria; Squamata; Anolidae.